UGAGUGAAGAAGGCCUGCGGGUUGUAAAGCCCUUUCGGUGGGGAAGAAAAUCCUCGAGCUAAUACCUCGGGGUCUUGACGUAUCCCAUACAAGAAGCACCGGCUAACUCUGUGCCAGCAGCCGCGGUAAUACAGAGGGUGCGAGCGUUAAUCGGAAUUACUGGGCGUAAAGCGCGCGUAAGCGGCUUUGCAAGUCGGGUGUGAAAUCCCCAGGCUUAACCUGGGAACUGCAUUCGAGACUGCAUUGCUAGAGUAUGGGAGAGGGAAGUGGAAUUUCCGGUGUAGCGGUGAAAUGCGUAAAUAUCGGAAGGAACAUCAGUGGCGAAAGCGACUUCCUGGACCAAUACUGACGCUCAUGUGCGAAAGCGUGGGGAGCAAACAGGAUUAGAUACCCUGGUAGA
RNAcentral lists this ribosomal RNA (400 nucleotides) under uncultured bacterium. RNAcentral's name for it is "bacterial SSU rRNA". It matches the Rfam family "Bacterial small subunit ribosomal RNA", at positions 402 to 794 of the family's 1533-position model. The record is from RNAcentral.